GCUAUACAUGCAGUCGAACGCGUUGGCCCAAUUGAUUGAUGGUGCUUGCACCUGAUUGAUUUUGGUCGCCAACGAGUGGCGGACGGGUGAGUAACACGUAGGUAACCUGCCCAGAAGCGGGGGACAACAUUUGGAAACAGAUGCUAAUACCGCAUAACAACGUUGUUCGCAUGAACAACGCUUAAAAGAUGGCUUCUCGCUAUCACUUCUGGAUGGACCUGCGGUGCAUUAGCUUGUUGGUGGGGUAAUGGCCUACCAAGGCGAUGAUGCAUAGCCGAGUUGAGAGACUGAUCGGCCACAAUGGGACUGAGACACGGCCCAUACUCCUACGGGAGGCAGCAGUAGGGAAUCUUCCACAAUGGGCGCAAGCCUGAUGGAGCAACACCGCGUGAGUGAAGAAGGGUUUCGGCUCGUAAAGCUCUGUUGUUAAAGAAGAACACGUAUGAGAGUAACUGUUCAUACGUUGACGGUAUUUAACCAGAAAGUCACGGCUAACUACGUGCCAGCAGCCGCGGUAAUACGUAGGUGGCAAGCGUUAUCCGGAUUUAUUGGGCGUAAAGAGAGUGCAGGCGGUUUUCUAAGUCUGAUGUGAAAGCCUUCGGCUUAACCGGAGAAGUGCAUCGGAAACUGGAUAACUUGAGUGCAGAAGAGGGUAGUGGAACUCCAUGUGUAGCGGUGGAAUGCGUAGAUAUAUGGAAGAACACCAGUGGCGAAGGCGGCUACCUGGUCUGCAACUGACGCUGAGACUCGAAAGCAUGGGUAGCGAACAGGAUUAGAUACCCUGGUAGUCCAUGCCGUAAACGAUGAGUGCUAGGUGUUGGAGGGUUUCCGCCCUUCAGUGCCGGAGCUAACGCAUUAAGCACUCCGCCUGGGAGUACGACCGCAAGGUUGAACUCAAAGGAAUUGACGGGGGCCCGCCACAAGCGGUGGAGCAUG
RNAcentral lists this ribosomal RNA (936 nucleotides) under Lactobacillus sp. 49DCCL02MX. RNAcentral describes it as "bacterial SSU rRNA". It matches the Rfam family "Bacterial small subunit ribosomal RNA", at positions 48 to 941 of the family's 1533-position model. The record is from RNAcentral. Lineage: Bacteria; Bacillati; Bacillota; Bacilli; Lactobacillales; Lactobacillaceae.